This is a long non-coding RNA of Gadus macrocephalus (Pacific cod), 2379 nucleotides long. RefSeq lists it as uncharacterized. NCBI's taxonomy places the organism in Eukaryota, Metazoa, Chordata, Actinopteri, Gadiformes, Gadidae. The transcript has 3 exons. The record is from RefSeq and is a predicted model, not a curated record.
CUGAAAGCUAUCUAUAAGUAUUACUUAGAUACGUUUUUAAGUUUGAGGGAAAGCUUCACGUUCGUGUUAGCAUACUGGCUUAACCUUAACUUUUACCUUACAUCUGUAUUGAAAUCAAAGUAUUCAAGAUGUUUUACCAUUAUCAUUUUAAGAUAUGAGCCACACAAAGUAUCAAAUAUAAUACACUUGGAUGAAUGAAAUAGUAUUUUUUUUAUUAAACAAUUAGUGUGACAAGAACAAGUGAGUGCGAUUGUGUGAACAGAUUCAACAAUGGACACAGCAGGGAACACUAUAUACUUAGGGCAAACCAUUAACAUAUAUCAUUGCAAAUAUACUAUACUUUAUGCCAUUACAAUACUUAUAAUAGCCCUGAGCAAAUUCAAAAUUGGUUAAGAUCAAUGGUCAUGGUUGGCUGUGCAGCGUUUGGAUGCUCCAAUCGGUCCGAGAAGGGUUACCACAUGUAUGGCUUCCCCAAGGACCAAGAGCGCAGGAAGAAAUGGAUGGCAAUGGUCAGCCGUCAAAACGUACAAGUGACAGGGGUCAGCAACAGUCAAAAACGAUGUGAUGUACACUUUGAAGAUGACCAAUUCACUGCCACAAAAAGAGAAGGGAUGUUGAAGUUGAGGCCCGAUGCAGUCCCAACAGUUUUCAUUCAUCGCCCUAAGCCGAAGAAGAGGAAACCCCCUUCUGUGAGGGUGCCUCCAGAACCAAGUGCAACGGACCACACAUAUUGCGCCAAAUUAAACUUCGAGAUUGAUGGAGAAAUUGAGGUGGAUUUCAAGAGCGAUGAAAAGGACAUGACAGGAGACAGAGAGAGCAAUCAAGGGGCCACUUUGCCAGGGGCAGGUGAUCCAGGGCCAGCUGCUCCAGGGACCAGACUGCCAGGGACUGAUGGGGCGACUGUGGAGGACCUAAUAAGGCAACUAGAAAAGGACAAAUGAAUGAGAAGGAGAGCAGAGAGGGCUCUUGUAAAACAAAAAAGAAUCAAUUUGGCACUAAGAAAGAGAAACAAUUCAGUCCACAAGAAGUUAAAACGAAAAAGCCAUACAGGUUAAAUUCACCACCCAUCAUAAUCAGCAUUGUUGAAGCGGCGGCAUCUGUAGGGCUUCAUGUGCUGAACAUCACCCUUUUUAGUUUCCAGGAUAUAAUUAAACAAACCCACGGUUAUUUCUACUAGCUAUCGCAUCAUAAAAGCCGUCCUUAAAUCAACCUAAAUGAUCCUAGUAAUCCAACAUAAAUAACUAACUAAAUAAAAGUUAGAUUCACUACUCGAGCUAACAAACCAGCAAGCAAUCGGUCGUCUACCAAGAUAAAAAAUAUAUAUAAUUACACUGUGCAUAUUCAAAUAAAUAUCAGUAUAUGCAUCAUAGGUCCUGAUAAAAAACAGACAGUUGACAAUUCAAAAGAGGUAGCUAUUUAAUCAAUUUACCCCUGGAGAUACCUUCACAGAUGGCGAAGUUGAGCUAACAAACUAGCAGGUAAUCGGUCGUCUACCAAGAUAAAAAAUAUAUAUAAUUACGCUGUGCAUUUACAAAUAAAUAUCAGUAUAUGCAUCAUAAAGGGCCUCUGAUACAAUAUAGACAGUUGACAAUUCAAAAGAGGUAGCUAUUUAAUCAAUUUACCUCAGAAGUUACUCGACGGCCAGCAAUGGAAAUGAAUGAUCUCCUACGCCGUAAAAUGGUUGUUUGGAACUAUUCGAGGCUCCAUACCCCGGAAGUAGGCGCUACAACGGAGUCCAAUGGAAGUGUCGCCACUAUGUUAUAUCUACCACUCUGGUCCUACCCAAUCCCCAGUAGUAGGGUAGGAAGGGGGGGUUCCCAUGCACCCGAGAGGUAUAUUUUUCUAACCAAGCUUUUUGUAAUCAAUGGCAGGUGUCUAGCAAAGGAAUUUUUAAAUUUUUAAAUUUUGCAAAUUAUUGUCCCAUGUAUGAUUUUUCUCACCAUCUUUUGUGUCUGUGCUUGAUUUUCGGCUGUGAAAAAUGAAAACUUUAAAUCUACAUAGAUCUUAUACAUUCUACACAAUACAUUACAGAACAAUACAUUCUACAGACACAAUCCUCCCAAUUUUCUCUUCGUAUUGUUAUGAAGAAUUUAUAGAGAUGAGGAUUGUCAUGAUUAGAUAAUGUAUGGUGCAUAAAGACUCAAAUAAACACAAUUUUUUUUUACAAAAUCGGUGACAUUGGAUCACUGGAACUCCUCCCCUAUGGACCCUAUUGAUAUAUGUUUUCUAACUUUUGUAUUUUUACAGUCUUUAAGAUGUCUCAUAAACAAAUGUUGAUGAUCCCCACUUGAAAUAUGGUCACAUGUAUGUUUAUUCUGGCUAUAUUGGUUGCCACCCUGGAUUUCCAAAAAAAAGAAAAAAUCGACAUAAUGUCUUAAA